Molecule: ribosomal RNA, 253 nt
Filed under: uncultured bacterium
Lineage: Bacteria
Description: partial 16S ribosomal RNA
Rfam family: Bacterial small subunit ribosomal RNA
Source: RNAcentral
UACGUAGGGGGCGAGCGUUGUCCGGAUUUAUUGGGCGUAAAGAGCGUGUAGGCGGCCAGGUAGGUCUGCUGUGAAAACUCGAGGCUCAACCUCGAGACGUCGGCGGAAACCAUCUGGCUAGAGUCCGGAAGAGGAGAGUGGAAUUCCUGGUGUAGCGGUGAAAUGCGCAGAUAUCAGGAAGAACACCCGUGGCGAAGGCGGCUCUCUGGGACGGUACUGACGCUCAUGCACGAAAGCGUGGGGAGCAAACAGG